This is a long non-coding RNA of Paramacrobiotus metropolitanus, 785 nucleotides long. RefSeq lists it as uncharacterized. NCBI's taxonomy places the organism in Eukaryota, Metazoa, Tardigrada, Eutardigrada, Parachela, Macrobiotidae. The transcript has 3 exons. The record is from RefSeq and is a predicted model, not a curated record.
AUGACCCUGGGAUGCUGAGCUUUUGAUUCAGGCCACUCGGCAAAUGUAGAAAAACGAGCCUUGUAAUCCAUCAUGUCUGGAAAGCGCACAGCGUAGCUAUAGGUCCCCGGAAUAGCAACUGGCGCUGACGCCCACACCUCCACGACGUCUUCUCCUUCCGCAGUAAUGGGUUCAGGUGUUCUCUUUGACAUUGGACAGUUUGGAAACAGUAAUUGAUGAUGCCGCCUUGGGCUUCGGAUUUUACCCCAUCCGGACAUAAUACCGUCACAAUAUGCGCACUGAACUUCAUCCCCGGUUCCACGAUAAAACAUUCCGGCUAAGGCCAACCAAUCGCUACAGUCUUGUGUUGGGAAAAGUUUGACCAAUGGAAACCAUUGCUUUCCAUAAAAAGGCGGAGUUUUGGAGGGAUUUUAUGCGAAUCAAAAUCCAACACUUUGCAGUCGCUGUAGUCGUGAGGAUAUAAAAGGCUAGCGGUCGCUUUUGCAAUCAAAAAAUGGAUUUUGCACGCACUUUGGAGAUUUUGGGAGAGCUGAACGGAUACAUCAUCUAUAAGGUCAACAAUGUGGUAAGUAUGUUUUGGAACACGAAAAAGGUCAGUCUUGUUCUAGCUUUUGAUCAGGAAACAGACGGUUACAAAGAUCAUGAAGAGGCGUUCCGGAAAGGAGUGCGUCUGGGAUGUAGUGAAAUUUCGGACGUCCUGAAUAAGUUGAAAGCGGGAACUAUCCAAGCAGCGAUGGACAAGGCAAUCACAAGCAAAUCUGCGGAAAAGGUCACUCUUGCCGGAC